Molecule: long non-coding RNA, 799 nt
Organism: Homo sapiens (human)
Lineage: Eukaryota; Metazoa; Chordata; Mammalia; Primates; Hominidae
Exons: 3
Source: RefSeq, a predicted model, not a curated record
CUCCCAAAGUGCUGGGAUUACAGGCGUGAGCCACCGCGCCCAGCCAGGCCAAUUGUCUUCUUGCCCUUGUACAAUUUCCUCCCCAUUAAGUGUGGAAUAGACUUAACCAAUUUGUUUCUAAGGAGUAGACUAUAACAAAAAUGACAGGAUGUCACUUCUGAGAUUAGGUUGCAAAAAGACUUUGGUUUCCAUCUUGGUUGCUCUCUCAUUCAGGUCAUUACCUGCCAGAGGUGGCUUCAAAGGUUUGUAAUCUAUGCAGUCAAGACAGAGUCCUGGGCUUAGAAGGACUUUGCACUUCGUUUAAUGCUUUGCUGUCACUGUCUUGAAAUUCUGAAUAAUUUUUGAACUAAGGGCCCUGUGUUUUUAUUUUGUAUUGGGCCCAACACAUAUAGUUGGUCCUGCCAGCUGCCAUGUUGUGAAUAUGGAGAAGCCAGAAUGGGGAGGAACUCAGGCCUGCCAACAGCUGCAUGAGUGAGCCUGGAAGCAGAUCCUCCAGCCUCAGUAGACCCUUGAGAUAACUGCAAUCUCACGAGAGACCUCGAACCAGAGUGCUGUGCUAGAGUUGGAUUUCAGCCACAGCUUGUUCAUGUUCUUGACCUCUUUUGUGCUAUCCACAACCUGCCCGAUCACAAGCUUCAACCCUGCCUGUUGAGCCUCAGAAAAAUAGAGAAAUGGAGCACAAGUAAUUGUUUACCCUGGGCACGUGGACAAGGUCUGAUACAUUGUCUUUGGAUGAACAGGCUUCAUAUCUUCCUUACCUUGGGGAACUUGCACAAGGCCAACACUUAUACCAGCAAGU